This 420-nucleotide ribosomal RNA is filed under the name uncultured bacterium. RNAcentral describes it as "bacterial SSU rRNA". It matches the Rfam family "Bacterial small subunit ribosomal RNA", at positions 356 to 773 of the family's 1533-position model. The record is from RNAcentral.
GAGGAAUAUUGGACAAUGGGUGAAAGCCUGAUCCAGCCAUCCCGCGUGAAGGAUGACGGUCCUAUGGAUUGUAAACUUCUUUUGUACAGGGAUAAACCUACCCUCGUGAGGGUAGCUGAAGGUACUGUACGAAUAAGCACCGGCUAACUCCGUGCCAGCAGCCGCGGUAGUACGGAGGGUGCAAGCGUUAUCCGGAUUUAUUGGGUUUAAAGGGUCCGUAGGCGGACCUGUAAGUCAGUGGUGAAAUCUCAUAGCUUAACUAUGAAACUGCCAUUGAUACUGCAGGUCUUGAGUAAAUUUGAAGUGGCUGGAAUAAGUAGUGUAGCGGUGAAAUGCAUAGAUAUUACUUAGAACACCAAUUGCGAAGGCAGGUCACUAAGAUUUAACUGACGCUGAUGGACGAAAGCGUGGGUAGCGAAC